Molecule: ribosomal RNA, 906 nt
Filed under: uncultured archaeon
Lineage: Archaea
Description: bacterial SSU rRNA
Rfam family: Archaeal small subunit ribosomal RNA
Source: RNAcentral
CCCCACUGCUAUCGGGGUGGGACUAAAACAUGCAAGUCGAGCGCCUCCAAGCUAUGGUGAAGGCGCGGCAAACGGCUCAGUAACACGUGGCCAACCUACCCUUGGGACGGAGACAACCCCGGGAAACUGGGGCUAAUCCCCGAUAAGUAAGGAAUCCUGGAAUGGAUCUUUGCUGAAAGGGCGUCUGGACCAUGCUUCUUGACGUCGCCCAAGGAUGGAGCCGCGACCGAUCAGGUAGUUGGCGAGGCAACGGCUCACCAAGCCUAUAACCGGUACGGGCCGUGAGAGCGGGAGCCCGGAGAUGGGCACUGAGACAAGGGCCCAGGCCCUACGGGGCGCAGCAGUUGCGAAAACUCCGCAAUGCGCGAAAGCGUGACGGGGCUACCCCGAGUGCCGCCCGUUGAGGGCGGCUUUUCCAUGGUGUAAGGAGCCGUGGGAAUAAGGAGAGGGCAAGACUGGUGUCAGCCGCCGCGGUAAUACCAGCUCUCCGAGUGGUGGGGACGAUUAUUGGGCUUAAAGCGUUCGUAGCCGGCUUAACAAGUCUUCCGUUAAAUCCAACGAUCUAAUCGUUGGGCUGCGGGAGAUACUGUUGGGCUAGGAGGCGGGAGAAGCCGACGGUAUUCUCGGGGUAGGGGUGAAAUCCUGUAAUCCCGGGAGGACCACCAGUGGCGAAGGCGGUCGGCUAGAACGCGCUCGACGGUGAGGGACGAAAGCUGGGGGAGCGAACCGGAUUAGAAACCCGGGUAGUCCCAGCUGUAAACGAUGCGGGCUAGGUGUUGGGGUGGCCACGAGCCACUUCAGUGCCGCAUGGAAGCAAUUAAGCCCGCCGCCUGGGGAGUACGGCCGCAAGGCUGAAACUUAAAGGAAUUGGCGGGGGAGCACCACAAGGCGUGAAGCUUGCGGUUU